GACGAACGCUGGCGGCGUGCUUAACACAUGCAAGUCGAACGGAAAGGCCCUGCUUUUGUGGGGUGCUCGAGUGGCGAACGGGUGAGUAACACGUGAGUAACCUGCCCUUGACUUUGUGAUAACUUUAGGAAACUGGGGCUAAUAUCGCAUAGGAUCUCCUGCUGCAUGGUGUGGGUUGGAAAGUUUCGGCGGUUGGGGAUGGACUCGCGGCUUAUCAGCUUGUUGGUGUGGUAGUGGCUUACCAAGGCUUUGACGGGUAGCCGGCCUGAGAGGGUGACCGGCCACAUUGGGACUGAGAUACGGCCCAGACUCCUACGGGAGGCAGAAGUGGGGAAUAUUGCACAAUGGGCGGAAGCCUGAUGCAGCAACGCCGCGUGCGGGAUGACGGCCUUCGAGUUGUAAACCGCUUUCGCAUGUGACGAAGCGUGAGUGACGGUAAUGGGUAAAGAAGCACCGGCUAACUACGUG
RNAcentral lists this ribosomal RNA (468 nucleotides) under uncultured bacterium. Its description in RNAcentral is "partial 16S ribosomal RNA". It matches the Rfam family "Bacterial small subunit ribosomal RNA", at positions 28 to 507 of the family's 1533-position model. The record is from RNAcentral.